GCAAGCAGCAGGCAACCACGCCGCGUGAGGGUGACGGCCUUCGGGUUGUAACCUCUUUCAGUAGGGAAGAAGCGAAGUGACGGUACCUGCGAAAAGCGCCGGCUAACUACGUGCCAGCAGCCGCGGUAAUACAG
Molecule: ribosomal RNA, 134 nt
Filed under: uncultured Arthrobacter sp.
Lineage: Bacteria; Bacillati; Actinomycetota; Actinomycetes; Micrococcales; Micrococcaceae
Description: partial 16S ribosomal DNA
Rfam family: Bacterial small subunit ribosomal RNA
Source: RNAcentral